GAAAAUUCUGUAAAAAAAAUUAAAAGAAUAAGAAACAACGCAAAUAAGAAAAAAAAAACUUUAGAAAUCAAUUCAUUUGAUAAUCCAAAUUUAUUUAACAUUCAUGAUGUUGUUGUCUUUAUCUCUUUAUUUAUGCCGUAAUUUUUUGGAAGAAGAGUUGGAAAUUUUAUUAUAGCUUUGAUGACAUUUUAAUUCAAUUGUUCUAUUGCCAUUAAAUUAAAAAGUGACCAAAUAUGUAACCAAAGGGACACCAUAUGAAAACAAGUAGUUCUUUUGUUAUUUUUGUGGCUUUGAAUUUUGGGAUAUGUUUUUUUAUGGGCUCUAAUUGUAACCCGAUUGGGAUAAAAAGUGAGA
This 354-nucleotide unclassified non-coding RNA is filed under the name Hevea brasiliensis (rubber tree). The record is from RNAcentral. Lineage: Eukaryota; Viridiplantae; Streptophyta; Magnoliopsida; Malpighiales; Euphorbiaceae.